UUUUUUUAUUUGUAGAGACGGGGUCUGGCUAUGUUGCCAGGCUGAUCUGGAACUCCUGGACUCAAGCAUAAAAACAGUCAUCUUAUACAUUUCCACCCCUCAUUUUCUCUCUUUCAUUUAGCCCAGAGAGAGGAACGAGCUGUGGUAUAGAUGCUGUUCCUACCACUCAUAAAGCUGAAAGCAAUUACAUUUCACUCUAUCACAUACACCAAUACAAAUAAUAAAUGAACUGAAUACUUAAAAUAUUUAUAUAAGCAUAGAGAAAAGAAUGAGGAAUACACACCAUUUUUGCCUCUUAGAUGAUCACUAAAAGAGGUGACUAGGUGGGAAGAAAGAGGAGAAGUUUCCGCUUUAUGCAAUUCUGUAUCAUCUGUGUUUGUUGCAGAGAAUGUCAGCAAUUUGUAAAAAGUUAUGGAAAAGCUAAAAUAACUCCCUGUUAAAGAGGGCAGAGGAGAAAGCUCUAGCCCCUGUGUCAUCUCUGAAAUCAACUAAGAACUACAAGAAAGAGAAACAGAGAGGAAUCUCCACUUCUAUGAAGCCACAACUCAGGAGAGGACUAGCCCCCAGGUGGCUGGCGCCUGGGACCGGACAGAGGAGGAUGUGAUGAGCGAGACUCUCUGUGGACCUUGGUUGGGAGCAGUAAAGAGAAUCCAGGCUUUGCCAGUCGGGGCGCACUGCAGUGCGAAUCAGCAACCCCAAGCCCCGCCCUUAUUGGAGCUGCAAGGUUCAGUGCGUGGGCAAACCCUGAAACACCUUUGAACGUGUGGACCACCAUAGUGGCAGGAAGCUGAGAUGAAACAGGCGUGUGCGUCCGCAAGAGCAGGUGCUUAUCUGUCACCCAUGUGGGGAGAAACUGAGGGUCAGUAUGAGCCUAACCCAUAUGGACACUGCUCAGCGAAGAAGUGCAAGCUAAAUCACCCCAAUUCUGCAACAUGCAGGGUUUUGCUGUGAGUCAGCGAGACUUCCUGUUAGUCUGGAGAGGACCACACCCAGCGGAGAGGAGGAGAGAGGACAGGAGGAAGGUAGGGAUGCUGGACCCACGGUGCCUGCCCUGCCAGAUCACCUCCAGCCCUGGGCCUCGCGCCUGCUCCUGUGGACAUCCUUGCUGCCCCGUGGCGCACACAUCCCCUCAGAAUAAUGCCUUCCAAUGCAUGAGACAAAACACAGAGAGCACACAGGGAAUAUCAUCUCAAAAUAUUUUUAAAAGUUUGUGAUAUUUAUACACUGAUUAAUCAGAUCUAGCAGUGGGCCUAAUAACUGGUAUAAUUUGAAAGUAGUGGUGAAGGCAAUUGACAUUUCAGCAUAUCUGUAACAACGGUAAAGGGAUAUAAAAAUAUGUAAUUUCUACUGGUGAAAAAUGUAUCUACCGAUCCCCAUGAGCUCUGCUGCCUGCAUACAUUAAAAAAACUAAAGAUGAUAAUUUUUCCCAUUCAAGCUCACAGAUCCCCUGAAUUGUAUCCCCAGACUCCUUGGGGAUAUUUGCUAGGCUUUCUUCCAACUACUCUUCAAAAAAGAGCUACUCCAGGAAAAAAUCCAUUAUCUCAAAGAAAAGUGACCAUAUUUUUAAAGGAACCAUCAUGGAAACUACAAAAAGAUAAUGUGGGAGGAGAAAUAACAGGAAAAAAGGCAUAUAGGAAACAAAAAGAUAAAUGAAGAAUACUUAACAAUGAUAAUAUGCCAUAAACCAGGUGAAAAUUCAUGUCGCAGACACAAUAAUGGCUCUCAAAGAUGCCCACAACCUACUCCCUGAAAACAAUGAAUGUUAUGACACACAGUGCUAUGAUUCGAAUGUGUCUCCUGAAGUUCAUGUGUUGGAAACUUAAUCCCCAAGGCAACGGUGCUGGGAAGUGGGGCCUAAUAAGAAGUGAUCAGGUCCUGAGGGCUCUGCCUUCAUGAAUGAGUUAAUGUCAUCAUCAAGGGAGCGUGUUAGUUGUUGCAAGAGUGGCUUUGUUACAAAAGCAAGUCUGGCUCUCUCUUGCCCUGUGCCUUCCACUACGGGAUACUGCAGAAUGAGGGCCCUCGCCAGAUGCGGGCACCAUGCUCUUGAACUUCCCAGCCUCCAGAACCAUGAGCCAAAUACAUUUCUGUUCAUUACAAAUAACCCAGUCUGUGGUAUUCUAUUAUAGCAACAUAAAACGAACUAAGACACAUGGCUAAAGAGAAUUAAGGUAGCAGAUGGAAUUAAGUUUGUUAAUCAGCUGACCUUAAGGUAGGGAUAUUAUCCUGGAUCAUCCAGGUGGGGCUAACAUAAAGACCCUAAUAGAAGGGUCCUUACAAGUGAAAGAGGGAGAUGGAAGGUCAGAGUGAUUCCAUGUGAGGACUCAGACGGAAGCACUAUGAGCUAAGGAAUGAGGGAGGCCUUUUCCUCGAGCUAGACUCUAAGGGCUCUAGGGGAGACUCUCGAGCCCCCGGAAAGGAACACAGCCCUGCCGGCACCAUUGUUUUAGCUCAGUGAGACAUAUUUUACUUCAGACAUGCAGAACCAUAAGAUACUAAAUUUUUUGUUGUUUUAAGACAAUAAAUUUAUGGCAAUUUGUUAUGCCAGCCACAGAAAACUAAUACAAUUAGUAGCAACUAGAUCUCUGUGAAGUCGAAGAAUUUACAGGAAGGAUUGUCUAUCACAAAUAAAAGUCUGAAGAAGAGACAUAGGGUUGGGCAUUAAGGACAUGAGCAAAUAGAGAUGAAAUGACAGGCUGACAAACUCAGACUGAAAGCAGGAAAGCUUUGCGGAAAUGAAGACUGCAAUAAAAGCAGCAAAAAAGAAAACAAAAUCUGUUAAAUCAUUCCAUGUGGUAGAGAACAUGCUUGAGGAACUGAGCAAAAGAAACAGGGAAGUACAAAAUAUUUAGGAGCAUUUUAAGGUCAAAUGAAAGAUGUUUAAGUCAAAGGAGACCCAACUGUGAGAGCAAAUGCAUUCAUAUAGGCAACAGGUUUCUUAGGGCCAACUAAGAUAUCUGCUGCAGUGUUUUUUCUGGCCAGCCCCCUGGCUAGCCGGCCUGCCGGGGAGGCGUGAGUCAGGACACUCAUGUAACCAAGGUGUUGUCUUCUGUGUGAACCCAUGUGAUCACCAUGUGAUCACACUUCCCCAUGGCGUGUUGCCAUAUAUAAGCGCUCGCCAUGUUCUCGGCCACACAUUUCACCACUGCCGUGUCCCCCCAACAAUAAAGAGCAUCAUGUCUCACCUGCCUGCUGCCACUUGCCUUUUCUUCCAAUUUCCAAAGCCUGUGGCAGAGCACGCGCUAGCCACAGAGCAUGCUCCUCACACCCAGCGUAGUCGGCAGGAUCCAGAGGGGUAAGUGUCCCCUAUACCCCAGCAGGGAGGACAUGUGGCCUCCUACGAGCUUGUGGCAGCCAGUGGCAAUGGUCCUCAUGUCAUGGGCUUCUGCAAUGGGGAGCAGGUGGAAUGUCUCCCUGCAGUCCUGGAAAAGGCCUUGGAGGAGUCGCUGCAGCCUGGGGAGUGAGCAGCAGCUGGUCGGGUCGGCCGGCUCUUCCUCACAGCCCUCAGGGAGCAGCAUAAAGACAUCCUGUGACAAGAAGCCCAGACACCCCUGAGGAGCUGCGGGAGCUGGGGAAACAGUGCAGACAGCGUCCUGGGGUGACUGCCUGCCUGGUGGUUGCAUUUAUGACAUGAAGGGAUGGAUAGCGUCCUGUGCUCCCCAAGGGAGGCGAAGCAAUUGGCAUCCAUGACUAUACGUCCUUCCCUGAGGCAGAGGUUACAGACAAGCAGUCACUGUGGUGAGGGCGACCACGCCUUGCUUGAAUGGCUCUGGCUGCCGCUCGCACAGCAUGGGAUGACGCCGGAAAACUACUUGAAACCGUGAAUCUAGAAGAAGCCGCCACCAGUCUUUGAACCUGUUGGAACAAUAGGGUUGGGCGGUGAAUGACUCCAAGGUCCAGGGACCUGGCUUGUCAGUCAAAUUCUUGGGUGCUGUCUGGUCAGGACAUAGACCUCUAGUCAGCCCCGGCAGUGAUGAGGCCAACACCCUGGCAAGAGUGUGAUGGAUCAGGUCACCCUUGCUGGCUGACAAAGCCGUGUGGUUACACCGUCGUCUGGGCCAUGCCAGUGUAAAGACUAUGGCUCAAGUGAACCAGAGGCAGAAUCUACACACACCUAUGGCAGAUUUAUGGACGGCUUGUCGCUAAUGUGAGAUGUCUCCAAGGACCCGUUGCUGUGACCCCAGGUAACUCAGGACGAAACUGUUCUGCUUCCGGCCCCAACUCCCCUCAAGGAAGGAGAGAUGAAAACCUGGACACGGUCGUGGAGUAUAACGGGCCCUGAACCCCAGUGGAUUGGACUGUUAGCCCUGUGGGGGGAUGGGUUACAGUACCUCUCCAACAUGUCACCCACCGUGCUCACCUCUGAACAGCAAUUGGUGACAGUCACAGCGGGCAACUAUGGAAAGGGCACCCUUCUCAUGGGCACCUUAGUUCUUGCCCUUUGGGUAAUUCCCCGGGUUCCCCUCGUCUUGGCACCUGAAACCACCAGACCUGUUCUAGGUGAGACUGUGUGGCACCAUCGCCCAGGACAAAAGGCAACUCUGGCCGCAAUCUUGUCUCAGGACAGACAGGUAGCCUGUGUGCAGCCUGAAGGAUGUGAGUUAUCCUUAGCGGUCCCCCAUCUGCUCUUUCCUACCGACCCAGGUAAUCCAGGCUGACAGCAUCACCUCCUGGACUUGUGCUCAAGUCAAGAACAUUUCUCACUGCUGGGUCUGCACGGAGUUCCUGGUGGAAACCUCCGGUGGCCUGGCCUGGAGCAUCACCCCUGCUUCUCUGCAGAACCGGCCUUUCCUGACCAUGUGGCAUCCCCAGGACACCGACUACCACCCCAUUCGCAGGGUAGUCAGAAAACACCUACAAUGAACUCCGCGCCCACAUCCCACUUUGGGAUACACUGUUUGGGAAGGUCAGGGUUGGCUAUUAUGGGAACAAGUAGAAUUGUGCCAAGUGGCCCCUCUAUGUAUAGAACAGGGAAUGGGAUUGAGAAACCGCAUUAUGGGAUGGAUCCUGAAAGAGUUUUGUGAAAACAUUACUCAGAAUAAUUAUGCUACCCGCUGGUGGAGUGGAAAACCUUUGGUGGGGACUGUCCCUACGGAUAGAGUGUCCCCAGGAUUUCCGUGGGUAUGUGGAAGACAUGGGUGGCUUUAUCUUCUUGCUCAUUGGAUGAGAAGAUGCUCGUGGGGACGGCCACACAUCCCAGGGAAGGUCCUCCGCACCUUUACUGAGGAGCCACAUUACUGGGAUGCCGUGUUCUCCCAUUGGCAUCAGGUGAAACCCACUCCAUGGUGGUUUUCCCAGUAGCCAUCCUUUUUCCUGGGGGUGGAGCCAUUAAGGUAGAGAUAGAAGUGGGUGCCCUAGUGGAGCUACUGCUCGGGCCCUGAAUCAAACCCGGCAGGCCUCGGCCCUCCUGAUGGAUGAGGUCACUCAGAUGAGGAAAGUGGUUUUGCACAACCGCAUGGCCCUUGCUCUCCUCACUGCAGCUCAAGGAGGCCCAUGCGCAGUCGUACAUACUGAGUGUGGUGUAGAUACCUGAUCACCAGGAGGAUAUCUCCUCCGCACUGAAGGAAGUUGAGGAGGUACAGGCCAUCCAACAGUUAACUGGAGACCCACUAUAGCAAUGGUGGGAAUGUCUCUAGUCCUCCCGGCGUUGGACCCUUUUAGUGUUAGGAGCUGCUGGCUGUGGUCUGGUGAUACUGUGUUGUUCCCUGUAUUGUUGUGGUGGCCUUUGUGCCCAAGGGGCCUCCCUAUGGGCCCGUGUGUCAGCCCCGUUACCUCAGGGGUGGAAUGUAAGGGAAAGUGCAUUUGUAUAGCCAACAGGUUUCUUAGGCCAAACGAAGAUGCCUGCCAUACUGUUUUCUCUGGCCCAGCCCCACUGGCUUGCUGGGCUUCCGGGGAGGUGUGUGUCAGCACACUCAUGUAACCAAGGUGUUGUUUCGUGCGUGAACCAAUGGGAUCGCGCUUCUCCAUGGCGUGUGGCCACUACUGUUCAGAGCCAUAUGUAAGCGCUCGCCACGUUCUCGGCCAUGUGUUUCGCCACUGCUGUGUCCUCCCAUCAAUAAAGAGCAUGUCUCACCUGCA
Lemur catta (Ring-tailed lemur) is the source of this 6075-nucleotide long non-coding RNA. RefSeq lists it as uncharacterized. The record is from RefSeq and is a predicted model, not a curated record. The transcript has 5 exons. Lineage: Eukaryota; Metazoa; Chordata; Mammalia; Primates; Lemuridae.